GACGAACGCUGGCGGCGUGCCUAAUACAUGCAAGUUGAGCGCUGAAGGCUGGUACUUGUACCAACUGGAUGAGCAGCGGACGGGUGAGUAACGCGUGGGGAAUCUGUCUUUGAGCGGGGGGCAACAUUUGGAAACGAAUGCUAAUACCGCAUAAAAACUUUAAACACAAGUUUUAAGUAUGAAAGAUGCAAUUGCAUCACUCAAACAUCAUCUCGCCUUGUAUUAGCUAGUUGGUGAGGCAAAGGCUCACCAAGGCGAUGAUACAUAGCCGACCUGAGACGGUGGUCGGCCACAUUGAGACGGAGACACGGCACAAACUCCUAGAGGAAGGAGCAGUAGGGAAUCUGGAGGAAUGGACGGAAGUCAGACCGAGCAACGCCGCGUGAGGAAGGAAGGAUGUCGGGUCGUAAAACUCGGUUGGUAGAGAAGAACGUUGGUGAGAGUGGAAAGCACAUCAAGUGACGGUAACUACACAGAAAGGGACGGCUAACUACGUG
Molecule: ribosomal RNA, 497 nt
Filed under: uncultured bacterium
Lineage: Bacteria
Description: partial 16S ribosomal RNA
Rfam family: Bacterial small subunit ribosomal RNA
Source: RNAcentral